Molecule: ribosomal RNA, 253 nt
Filed under: uncultured bacterium
Lineage: Bacteria
Description: partial 16S ribosomal RNA
Rfam family: Bacterial small subunit ribosomal RNA
Source: RNAcentral
UACGUAGGUGGCAAGCGUUGUCCGGAUUUAUUGGGUUUAAAGGGUGCGUAGGCGGUCCUGUAAGUCAGUGGUGAAAUACGGCAGCUUAACUGUCGAGGUGCCAUUGAUACUGCGGGACUUGAGUACAGUCGAGGUAGGCGGAAUUGACGGUGUAGCGGUGAAAUGCUUAGAUAUCGUCAAGAACACCGAUAGCGAAGGCAGCUUACUAGGCUGUAACUGACGCUGAGGCACGAAGGUGCGGGGAUCAAACAGG